This 253-nucleotide ribosomal RNA is filed under the name uncultured bacterium. RNAcentral describes it as "partial 16S ribosomal RNA". It matches the Rfam family "Bacterial small subunit ribosomal RNA", at positions 524 to 776 of the family's 1533-position model. The record is from RNAcentral.
UACGUAGGGUGCGAGCGUUAAUCGGAAUUACUGGGCGUAAAGCGUGCGUAGGUGGUUCGUUGUGUCUGUGGUGAAAGCCCCGGGCUUAACCUGGGAACGGCCAUGGAAACUGGCGAGCUGGAGUGUGGCAGAGGGGGGUGGAAUUCCGCGUGUAGCAGUGAAAUGCGUAGAGAUGCGGGGGAACACCGAUGGCGAAGGCAGCCCCCUGGGCUAACACUGACGCUGAGGCACGAAAGCGUGGGGAGCAAACAGG